GACGAACGCUGGCGGCGUGCUUAACACAUGCAAGUCGAGCGGUAAGGCCCUUUCGGGGGUACACGAGCGGCGAACGGGUGAGUAACACGUGGGUGACCUGCCCUUAGCUCUGGGAUAAGCCUGGGAAACUGGGUCGUAAUACCGGAUAUGACUCCAUGACGCAUGUUGUGGGGUGGGAAAGCCUUGUGCGGCUAGGGAUGGGCCCGCGGCCUAUCAGCUUGUUGGUGGGGUGAUGGCCUACCAAGGCGACGACGGUAGCCGGCCUGAGAGGGCGACCGGCCACACUGGGACUGAGACACGGCCCAGACUCCUACGGGAGGCAGCAGUGGGGAAUCUUGCGCAAUGGGCGAAAGCCUGACGCAGCGACGCCGCGUGAGGGAUGACGGCCUC
This 390-nucleotide ribosomal RNA is filed under the name uncultured bacterium. Its description in RNAcentral is "bacterial SSU rRNA". It matches the Rfam family "Bacterial small subunit ribosomal RNA", at positions 28 to 418 of the family's 1533-position model. The record is from RNAcentral.